Lonchura striata (white-rumped munia) is the source of this 1424-nucleotide non-coding RNA. The record is from RefSeq and is a predicted model, not a curated record. NCBI's taxonomy places the organism in Eukaryota, Metazoa, Chordata, Aves, Passeriformes, Estrildidae.
AAAGCAAAUGUUUUGGGCUUUGCUUCUACAUUGGGAUCACUGAGUGGGUAAGGUUUAGAGGCCAAGAUAAAAGCACCUGUUCACAGUGUGUAGCCUCUCAGGAUGGUCUGUUGGUAAAUUUUGACCAUGUUAAGCUGUUUAUCUUUAUGUGCUGCUUCAUUCCCAGCUGUUUCCAGUUUGUUUAAUUGAGCUGCUAAGCAGAAGCAGCUUUUAAAGAGGGAAAGGCAGCUGUAAUCCAUCACAGAUUUGUUCGUUGGUUUUUUGGGGUUUUUUGGUGGGGUUUUUUUUGGUUUGUUUUUUUUUGGGGGGUAGGGACUCAUGAUAUAAGACUAGCAUGGGGAUAUGUAAAUUCUUUUGAAAGAAAAGUUCACUGUAGGCUGGAGUUUCUGCCUACUGAUCACCAUGGAAAGCAGACACUUUUUUGGUAAUUCUAGUGUGAGUUCUGGAUGUUGAGCAGUUUUUGGAGAUCUGGCUGAAUUUAUGUGCCUUUUAUACCUGGUAAGCACCUGCCUGAUAUAAAUCACACUCUGUUUGUCUAUUGUGUUAAUCUGAGUGUAAGAUGAGGUGGUUUAUUUUUUUUUUUAAUUAAGAUCUGAAGAAGGUUGUUUGUGUUGUAUUGAGGCUUUGGUUGAUGUACACAUCACCUGUGCAAUUCCCAAGUGCCAGGAAUGUCUUUUGGCAUUCUGGCUGGUCAGAGCAGGGUAGGCACUAGUGCUGGGCCUGGAUAUUCCAGAACUGAGAGCUAAGAUCUGCUUAAGGAAGGGUCUAGAUAGACCCUUUAACACAUAUUCACCCAAAUAUUUUCAUGCAAACUUGGCUGUACUGUUCCCAACAUCUGGUCAGGGUUACCAGAUGAUUCUAUUUUAAUGAUUCAGAAAGAAAACUUCCUCCCCCCCACCCAAGAAUAUAGAAAGGAUGGAGUACUGAUAGUGUAAAAGACCUUAAAGAUUUCUUUAAGUGAGCUGCCACUAGUAUAAAAUCUUCUGCCUUGAGCCAACAGCAUUAUGGAGUAAAAUAUCAUUCAAGUAUCACUACAGCAAAUGGGAGUAUCCAUUAGCAUUACAGGAAAAUGUUUCCUUUUUAUACAAUGAGAGCUUUCUAUAUUUUAUAGAUUUCUCAUUACUGCCAGCAGUGUGAUUCCAUUAAAAAAACCCCUGAAAACCAGAAAGGAAGCUGGGUAGAAGUACAGGCAAAGGGGAAAUUAACAAAAUCCAUUAACUUUUUUCAGUGAUUUUUGUCUGUAUUGAAUCCUCUGGUGCUUUGGAGAAUCUCACUCUCUGGUGUCAUCCUUUUGCAAGAGCUGUACGAGUUGGUAUGACUGCAAGCAAAGUUGUAGUUUGCAUCUCAGUGUGUGUUAAAAAUCCAUAUUUUUUCAAGAUUAAAAGUUAAUUUCUAAAGCAAUAAGCAUUGCAUAUGCAGAUAUA